RNAcentral lists this ribosomal RNA (209 nucleotides) under Paenibacillus catalpae. Its description in RNAcentral is "partial 16S rRNA. Bacterial SSU". It matches the Rfam family "Bacterial small subunit ribosomal RNA", at positions 1 to 208 of the family's 1533-position model. Lineage: Bacteria; Bacillati; Bacillota; Bacilli; Caryophanales; Paenibacillaceae. The record is from RNAcentral.
AUUUCAUGGAGAGUUUGAUCCUGGCUCAGGACGAACGCUGGCGGCGUGCCUAAUACAUGCAAGUCGAGCGGAUCUUGUCCUUCGGGACAAGGUUAGCGGCGGACGGGUGAGUAACACGUGGGUAACCUGCCCAUAAGACUGGGAUAACAUUCGGAAACGAAUGCUAAUACCGGAUACGCGAAUCGGUCGCAUGGCCGAAUCGGGAAAGG